Molecule: long non-coding RNA, 1249 nt
Filed under: Equus caballus (horse)
Lineage: Eukaryota; Metazoa; Chordata; Mammalia; Perissodactyla; Equidae
Description: lncRNA (ENSECAG00000058534.1)
Source: RNAcentral
CCCCUAAGUUUCCAGCUCAACAGGUCAGGUGGGGCCUGGGAAUUUGAAUUUUUAGCAGGUUCCAGGUGAUGCUGAUGCUGCUAGUGGGGUGGGGGACUUCAGCUGAGAACCACUGCUGUGCAAAGGGGAGGUCUGGGAGCUGGUCUGGGGUCUGUGUUCUGUGCAGUGGCCCCAGGGCGGAGCAGACAGCAGCUGGCUGGGUCCAAGGUCAGGCUCAGGAGUUUGGAGGUGGGUAGAGGGCGAGGUUGUGGGUGACGUGGCUAAGGCUGCCUGGGAAGAAGUAGCCAGAGGUUGUGAAAGGGCUUGUUGGAGAGAGGAGGGUCUGGGGCCCUGGUGACAGCAAGGAGGGACCACGUGCCUCGCAGUAGCGUCGCCAGAGCCACCCCAGCGUCCCUGAUAGAUCCCCAGCUUCUGGGUCCCCCAGCCCAAAUCCUGGUGAGGUGCCCCAGAAAGGAAUGCAUUGUCCACGGACACCCAGGUUUGCACCAGGAUGACAAGCCUGGUUCUGCACUUGUCUUUGUUGAGGACGCAUCCGCCAGCAGCAGACACACACUGUGCCCUUCCAGACCACCGUGUGGGGCCAUGUGGGGCCAUGUGGGGCACGUGCUGGCUACGCAGGGCGCUGGACAAUCGUCCUUGAACAGACGGAAAGAGCAGAAAGGAAUACACAAAGGACAGGAAGGGAGCGGCUCCAAGGAGGUGUAAUUGGUGAAGAAACCGCCCCACCGGGGGCGUUGGUGCUCAGCCCUGUCUCCUGGGCCAGUGUGAAGGCCACUGCCGCGGAGAGCAUCCAAGCAGCCAAGCUCACGUGUUUAUGACCCACCCAAGUCCACAGAGCCGUAUGUGUCCACAGCAAGAGGAGUUCCAGAUGAGAAAAGCUCAAAAGGACGCGUGACUGAGAGCAGGUGUGGACGACACCUCCAGGAACCCCCAAGGUGCCGAGAGGCCUCCCCCAGGCCUACCUUCCUGCCCUCCCUCACCUGCCAGAGCCCUGGGGGGUGUGCUCAGUGCUGCCGCUUGGAUGCUCACCUGUGAAGGGUGCUGCGGAGCAAAGGGUUUCCCAGACCUGGGCAGGCACAGAGCCUCCGGGCGCUUGUGAGAGGCAGAAUAACGACCCCCAAAGAUGCCCACAUCCUAAUCCUGGAAGCUGGAGUACCUUACCUGACACGGCGAAGGGGGGUUUUAUUGCAGGUGGAAUUAGGUGACUAAUUAGCUGACCUUAAGAUGAGGAUCAUCCUGAAUUAUCCAG